RNAcentral lists this ribosomal RNA (702 nucleotides) under uncultured bacterium. RNAcentral's name for it is "bacterial SSU rRNA". It matches the Rfam family "Bacterial small subunit ribosomal RNA", at positions 61 to 763 of the family's 1533-position model. The record is from RNAcentral.
GUCGACGAAGCACUUUAAUUGAUUUCUUCGGAAUGAAGUUUUUGUGACUGUGUGGCGGACGGGUGAGUAACGCGUGGGUAACCUGCCUCAUACAGGGGGAUAACAGUUGGAAACGACUGCUAAUACCGCAUAAGCGCACAGGAUUGCAUGAUCCAGUGUGAAAAACUCCGGUGGUAUGAGAUGGACCCGCGUCUGAUUAGCCAGUUGGCGGGGUAACGGCCCACCAAAGCGACGAUCAGUAGCCGACCUGAGAGGGUGACCGGCCACAUUGGGACUGAGACACGGCCCAAACUCCUACGGGAGGCAGCAGUGGGGAAUAUUGCACAAUGGGGGGAACCCUGAUGCAGCGACGCCGCGUGAGCGAAGAAGUAUUUCGGUAUGUAAAGCUCUAUCAGCAGGGAAGAAGAAUGACGGUACCUGACUAAGAAGCACCGGCUAAAUACGUGCCAGCAGCCGCGGUAAUACGUAUGGUGCAAGCGUUAUCCGGAUUUACUGGGUGUAAAGGGAGCGCAGGCGGUACGGCAAGUCUGAUGUGAAAUCCCGGGGCUCAACCCCGGUACUGCAUUGGAAACUGUCGGACUAGAGUGUCGGAGGGGUAAGUGGAAUUCCUAGUGUAGCGGUGAAAUGCGUAGAUAUUAGGAGGAACACCAGUGGCGAAGGCGGCUUACUGGACGAUUACUGACGCUGAGGCUCGAAAGCGUG